CUUGUCCCCAAGAUACGAAUCCGAUCUUAGAUUCUUAUUUAAUGUGUCAUCCGAUCAAAAAUGUACUCAAAGAAUGGCAAAGUUUUCAGGUAUUCUUGUUAAAAAUGAAGUAAUGAAAAAUACAUGCUUUAAAAAUAAUAUACAUUCGAAAUAACUAGACUAGAAGUAAAAAUAAAAGAGUGGAAGAAAUUAAGAGGCUAAUACUUGGGAGGACGAGAAGCAUGCUUUUUUGAUGGAGCUUCUGUACAAUCCGACUAGUUUGUAGGUCCCCGGCUGAACCACCUCGACCUUCCCAGUUGGGCAUCGGUUUACCUUACUUCAUCGACGUGGAAGUAGUCGGUUCCCUUAACAUCAUGGCCCCUACUUAGGACGAUCUAUUCUUUACUCCUCAAAGCAAAGUAUUGGACUUCCUGGACGG
RNAcentral lists this long non-coding RNA (418 nucleotides) under Daucus carota (carrot). RNAcentral describes it as "long non-coding RNA (DCAR_LNC000264)". The record is from RNAcentral. Lineage: Eukaryota; Viridiplantae; Streptophyta; Magnoliopsida; Apiales; Apiaceae.